Molecule: long non-coding RNA, 406 nt
Filed under: Chinchilla lanigera (long-tailed chinchilla)
Lineage: Eukaryota; Metazoa; Chordata; Mammalia; Rodentia; Chinchillidae
Description: lncRNA (ENSCLAG00000024901.1)
Source: RNAcentral
AGAAACUUGGGAGAUGAACUUCUCUGCCUGGUGUUUUUGUCUUGUCCAUACUUGCAGGAGUAAGCUGAUAUCUAAAAAUAACUAUUGCACUGAUUGGUAUACUCUAAACCAAUCAGGGUCUUAGCCUUUGUUUCUGGGGUGAGCUCUGGUUCAUGGGACCUAGGGACACAUAAUAAAAGUAUAAAAAUACAUCAUGAAGGGCAGCCUCCUCAAGCACAUCAUGCCAUGAGUAACCAUGUUCUCUCCAUUACAUCAAGUUGUUUGGAAGAUUUGGCUGCUUCUGAUCCUCAGAAAGUAGAAACAACACGAAUGCCCACCAACUGUCUGGAUAAUGAAUUGCAAUUAAUCAAUAUAAGCCAAGGUAUGGUGAUUUAUCACAAAUGACACUUGCUGAUGAUAUCUUUUC